CCCUUCUCGGGUUCACACCUGGAGAGUUUCCAGUCCUCUACCAGUCUCGGCUAGGGGAAGGAGAGUCAAGCGGAAGCCAACUCAUUCCAUUCUUAGCUUGGGCAGUGGCUAGCGAGUGGAAGACAAUCUGCCAGAAGC
Small nucleolar RNA from Ornithorhynchus anatinus (platypus), 138 nucleotides. Lineage: Eukaryota; Metazoa; Chordata; Mammalia; Monotremata; Ornithorhynchidae. The record is from RefSeq and is a predicted model, not a curated record.